GAUGAACGCUGGCGGCGUGCCUAAUACAUGCAAGUCGAGCGAACAGACGAGGAGCUUGCUCCUCUGACGUUAGCGGCGGACGGGUGAGUAACACGUGGAUAACCUACCUAUAAGACUGGGAUAACUUCGGGAAACCGGAGCUAAUACCGGAUAACAUGUUGAACCGCAUGGUUCAACAGUGAAAAACGGUCUUGCUGUCACUUAUAGAUGGAUCCGCGCCGCAUUAGCUAGUUGGUAAGGUAACGGCUUACCAAGGCAACGAUGCGUAGCCGACCUGAGAGGGUGAUCGGCCACACUGGAACUGAGACACGGUCCAGACUCCUACGGGGGGCAGCAGUAGGGAAUCUUCCGCAAUGGGCGAAAGCCUGACGGAGCAACGCCGCGUGAGUGAAGAAGGUCUUCGGAUCGUAAAACUCUGUUAUUAGGGAAGAACAAAUGUGUAAGUAACUAUGCACGUCUUGACGGUACCUAAUCAGAAAGCCACGGCUAACUACGUG
This 497-nucleotide ribosomal RNA is filed under the name uncultured bacterium. RNAcentral's name for it is "partial 16S ribosomal RNA". It matches the Rfam family "Bacterial small subunit ribosomal RNA", at positions 28 to 507 of the family's 1533-position model. The record is from RNAcentral.